UGAGUAAUGUCUGGGAAACUGCCCGAUGGAGGGGGAUAACUACUGGAAACGGUAGCUAAUACCGCAUAACGUCGCAAGACCAAAGAGGGGGACCUUCGGGCCUCUUGCCAUCGGAUGUGCCCAGAUGGGAUUAGCUAGUAGGUGGGGUAACGGCUCACCUAGGCGACGAUCCCUAGCUGGUCUGAGAGGAUGACCAGCCACACUGGAACUGAGACACGGUCCAGACUCCUACGGGAGGCAGCAGUGGGGAAUAUUGCACAAUGGGCGCAAGCCUGAUGCAGCCAUGCCGCGUGUAUGAAGAAGGCCUUCGGGUUGUAAAGUACUUUCAGCGAGGAGGAAG
RNAcentral lists this ribosomal RNA (340 nucleotides) under Citrobacter freundii. RNAcentral describes it as "bacterial SSU rRNA". It matches the Rfam family "Bacterial small subunit ribosomal RNA", at positions 107 to 450 of the family's 1533-position model. The record is from RNAcentral. Lineage: Bacteria; Pseudomonadati; Pseudomonadota; Gammaproteobacteria; Enterobacterales; Enterobacteriaceae.